CUUCCAGUAGCACCUUAGAGACCAGCUAAGUUUGUUAUUGGUAUGAGUUAAGUGUGCAUGCACACGAAAGCUCAUACCAAUAACAAACAUAGUUGGCCUCUAAGGUGCUACUGGAAU
Non-coding RNA from Podarcis lilfordi (Lilford's wall lizard), 117 nucleotides. The record is from the annotation of a GenBank genome assembly. NCBI's taxonomy places the organism in Eukaryota, Metazoa, Chordata, Lepidosauria, Squamata, Lacertidae.